Long non-coding RNA from Hippocampus comes (tiger tail seahorse), 188 nucleotides. RefSeq lists it as uncharacterized. The transcript has 3 exons. Lineage: Eukaryota; Metazoa; Chordata; Actinopteri; Syngnathiformes; Syngnathidae. The record is from RefSeq and is a predicted model, not a curated record.
UUUUUUUUUUAAAGGGAGAAGCAGGAUCAGAUGGUGUUAAAGGGGAAAAGGGUGAGCCCUGUUCGGUGUGCCCCACCUUGAGCGAGUUAGCCCCAAACCUCGGGACUCAAACUCUGCAAGUCAAAGGCCAAAAAGGAGAACAAGGACACGCUGGAAAUGUAGGACCACCUGGCCCACGAGGAGAGAAG